Molecule: ribosomal RNA, 484 nt
Filed under: uncultured bacterium
Lineage: Bacteria
Description: partial 16S ribosomal RNA
Rfam family: Bacterial small subunit ribosomal RNA
Source: RNAcentral
AGUGAACGCUGGCGGCAGGCCUAACACAUGCAAGUCGAGCGGCAGCGGGUCCUUCGGGAUGCCGGCGAGCGGCGGACGGGUGAGGAAUGCAUCGGAAUCUGCCCUGUCGUGGGGGAUAACCUAGGGAAACUUAGGCUAAUACCGCAUACGACCCACGGGUGAAAGCGGGGGAUCGCAAGACCUCGCGCGAUAGGAUGAGCCGAUGUCCGAUUAGCUAGUUGGCGGGGUAAAGGCCCACCAAGGCGACGAUCGGUAGCUGGUCUGAGAGGAUGAUCAGCCACACUGGGACUGAGACACGGCCCAGACUCCUACGGGAGGCAGCAGUGGGGAAUAUUGGACAAAGGGCGCAAGCCUGAUCCAGCCAUGCCGCGUGGGUGAAGAAGGCCUUCGGGUUGUAAAGCCCUUUUGUCCGGGAAGAAAUCGUCUGGGCUAAUACCCCGGGCGGAUGACGGUACCGGAAGAAUAAGCACCGGCUAACUUCGUG